This 74-nucleotide transfer RNA is filed under the name Buchnera aphidicola (Aphis urticata). Its description in RNAcentral is "tRNA-Met". It matches the Rfam family "tRNA". Rfam says of the family: Transfer RNA (tRNA) molecules are approximately 80 nucleotides in length. Their secondary structure includes four short double-helical elements and three loops (D, anti-codon, and T loops). Lineage: Bacteria; Pseudomonadati; Pseudomonadota; Gammaproteobacteria; Enterobacterales; Erwiniaceae. The record is from RNAcentral.
AGCGGGGUGGAGCAGUCUGGUAGCUCGUCGGGCUCAUAACCCGAAGGUCGUUGGUUCAAAUCCAGCUCCCGCAA